UCCGGAAUGGUCUAACGGUCAUGAUUUCCGCUUGUCACUUCCAACUAACAAGCGCGGGAGACCAGGGUUCGACUCCCUGUUCCGGAG
RNAcentral lists this transfer RNA (87 nucleotides) under Coccidioides posadasii str. Silveira. It matches the Rfam family "tRNA". From Rfam's summary of the family: Transfer RNA (tRNA) molecules are approximately 80 nucleotides in length. Their secondary structure includes four short double-helical elements and three loops (D, anti-codon, and T loops). Lineage: Eukaryota; Fungi; Ascomycota; Eurotiomycetes; Onygenales; Onygenaceae. The record is from Rfam by way of RNAcentral.